GCCACCUUUAGCCUUGAGGUUGGAGGAUAUGAAGGUGUCAAGGUGCGUGGGAGGGUUCCCACAGGCUGGAUGUGAGUCCCUGCAGAGUUAUCCUUUCUUGUCCUUUUGCAACCACCACAUAUUUUUAAAAAGAUUGACAGAUAUGACAUUGAAAUAUCUAAUCAUCAGAAGACACUCAAAAAAGUAGAGUCCCAAACCUAAUGCCAGUUCUGUGCCCAUCAUAGGAAGUUUUGGGGACCAGGAUAAGUUGUUUUCUGAGUACCAGCUCAAUCAGCCUCAGAGCAAGAGUGACUCCACCCCAAGGCCUAGUGAUCAAACAGAAUGAACAAUGGGAAGGAAGACUGGGGAUCUGGGAAUCAGCUUGAAGGGUGCUGUCAAGGCAGUCAUCUUGUGUGUGUCUGCAUUCUUCACAUUUCUAUGCAUCUCUAAAGUCAGUGCCCACCUCUAAGUACAAUUGUUUAUCUGUGUGUCCAUUUAUUUACUCAAUAAGGGCUUAUUUAUCAAGGGCCUAUUUUGUAGUUUGUGCUUGGUUUAUACAAUGUGUUAAUCACUGGGUUCACAUUGGUGAAAUAAAUGGUUGGGGCCCCUGCCCUUGUAGAGCUUACACUUUGGUAAGGAGGUGAACCAUAAAGAAGAGUUAGAGAUAAACAGUGUGCUGUGUUGGAGACUAGGAGUGGGCCAUCUCAUAUGGCUACUUCAUAUGAGAUGGGUGGGGACUCUGUCUUGCUUACAAAUCCAGAAUAGUGCCUGACACAUAGUGGAACUCAAAAAUGUUGAAGGAAUGCCUGGGCUAGUCAGGAGUUCCUCUCUGUGGAGGUACAUCUUAAAUUAACCUUGAAGGAUGAGGAUCCAGCCAUUUCCAGCCCCUAAGAAAAGUAUUUUGGGUGGAGGAAGCAGCUCAUAUCUGGUUGCUGACCUCUUGUCUACUAUCAUGGAGAAUUCAUGUUACAGAGCCUUUGUUCCUGUCUGUUGUCUGUAUGAUCUUGGAUGCCCUCGGGCAGGUUUAGACAGGGCCCCUCCAGGGUCCCUAAAGGUGAGGUUAUUGCUGAGCUGAUUCACUCCACUGGGCAACUCUGGCCUAACCAGCCCAGCCUGGCCUGGUCAUUUCCCUGAAAACAAUCUUUCCCUCAAUGGCAUCAGUCCCAUGAUUUCUGGCUCCCUCCCAGGGCAUCAUCCUGUGGCCUGUAAGGAAGUCCUUCACCCUGGCUAACCACAGUCCCUGCUGAGGUAACCUUGGCCUUGUCCUCUCAUUUGGCCUCAUGGAAGAGGGGUAAGAUGGGCUAGGCCUGUAGCAGCAGGUCCUGCCUAGAUAGAGAACACAGUAAAAACCUGACAGAAUGAGGGUGACAAAACCUGGCAACCCCAGGCAAGUGAACCUCAAAAGACAGAGAUAAUCACUCAUCUUAGGAUCCUCUGUCACAUCCAUAAUCUCAUUUAAUCCUUCAACACCCCACUUUAUAGGCAGAGAGGAAAAUAGUGGCAGAUCUGGGACCAGCACCCAAGCGCUUGAUAAAAUAGUAAUAAGAACUACUGUUCAUUGCACGUUCCUCUCUGCCAGGUACUAUGCUAAAACUCUGCAUACAUUUUCUUCUUUAAGCCUAAUCACAAUGCUGUGAAGUGUUGUCCUCAGACGAGGAGACUGGGGCUCACAGCCAUUGAGUGACUUGUCCAAAUACGCCAGCUAGUUCUCAACUGGACCAGUUUGGGCUCAGGGAGUUAAUGUACUCGUGC
RNAcentral lists this long non-coding RNA (1731 nucleotides) under Marmota monax (woodchuck). Lineage: Eukaryota; Metazoa; Chordata; Mammalia; Rodentia; Sciuridae. The record is from RNAcentral.